CCUACGUGGGGCUGCAGUGGGGAAUAUUGGACAAUGGGCGAAAGCCUGAUCCAGCCAUGCCGCGUGUGUGAAGAAGGCCUUCGGGUUGUAAAGCACUUUCAGUGGGGAAGAAAGCCUUGGGGCUAAUACCCUCGAGGAAGGACAUCACCCACAGAAGAAGCACCGGCUAACUCCGUGCCAGCAGCCGCGGUAAUACGGAGGGUGCGAGCGUUAAUCGGAAUUACUGGGCGUAAAGCGCGCGUAGGCGGUCUGAUAAGCCGGUUGUGAAAGCCCCGGGCUCAACCUGGGAACGGCAUCCGGAACUGUCAGGCUAGAGUGCAGGAGAGGAAGGUAGAAUUCCCGGUGUAGCGGUGAAAUGCGUAGAGAUCGGGAGGAAUACCAGUGGCGAAGGCGGCCUUCUGGACUGACACUGACGCUGAGGUGCGAAAGCGUGGGUAGCAAACAGGAUUAGAUACCCUUGUAGUC
RNAcentral lists this ribosomal RNA (465 nucleotides) under Vreelandella stevensii. Its description in RNAcentral is "partial 16S ribosomal RNA". It matches the Rfam family "Bacterial small subunit ribosomal RNA", at positions 338 to 795 of the family's 1533-position model. The record is from RNAcentral. Lineage: Bacteria; Pseudomonadati; Pseudomonadota; Gammaproteobacteria; Oceanospirillales; Halomonadaceae.